Molecule: ribosomal RNA, 253 nt
Filed under: uncultured bacterium
Lineage: Bacteria
Description: partial 16S ribosomal RNA
Rfam family: Bacterial small subunit ribosomal RNA
Source: RNAcentral
UACGGAGGGUGCAAACGUUGCUCGGAAUCAUUGGGCGUAAAGCGCACGUAGGUGGUUUGUUAAGUCGGGCGUGAAAGCCCUGGGCUCAACCCAGGAAGUGCACUCGAAACUGGCAGACUUGAGUACUGAAGAGGGUCGCGGAAUUCCCGGUGUAGAGGUGAAAUUCGUAGAUAUCGGGAGGAACACCAGUGGCGAAGGCGGCGACCUGGGCAGAUACUGACACUGAGGUGCGAAAGCGUGGGGAGCAAACAGG